This 194-nucleotide unclassified non-coding RNA is filed under the name uncultured Anthostomella. Its description in RNAcentral is "sequence contains ITS1". Lineage: Eukaryota; Fungi; Ascomycota; Sordariomycetes; Xylariales; Xylariaceae. The record is from RNAcentral.
CAGAGUUAUCCAAACUCCCAAACCCAUGUGAAUCUACCAGUAUAGUUGCCUCGGCGGUUGCUGGUGUCUUGUAGCUACCCGGAACCUACCCGGUACUGUGUAGCUACCCGGCACCGUUCGGCCCGCCGAAGGUCCACAACCAAACUCUUUGUUUUUUAUAGUGGCAAUCUGAAUUCAAAAAACUUAAUAAGUUA